RNAcentral lists this small RNA (117 nucleotides) under Pongo abelii (Sumatran orangutan). RNAcentral's name for it is "Metazoan signal recognition particle RNA (ENSPPYG00000033522.1)". Lineage: Eukaryota; Metazoa; Chordata; Mammalia; Primates; Hominidae. The record is from Rfam by way of RNAcentral.
GCUGGGUGUGGUGGCUCACGCCUGUAAUCCCAGCACUUUAGGAGGCUGAGGUGGGAGGAUCACCUGAGGUCAGGAGUUCGAGACCAGCCUGGCCAACAUGGUGAAACCGCAUCUCUA